Molecule: ribosomal RNA, 253 nt
Filed under: uncultured bacterium
Lineage: Bacteria
Description: partial 16S ribosomal RNA
Rfam family: Bacterial small subunit ribosomal RNA
Source: RNAcentral
UACGUAGGAGGCGAGCGUUGUCCGGAUUCAUUGGGCGUAAAGAGCGCGUAGGCGGCUUGGUAAGUCGGAUGUGAAAACCCGGGGCUCAACCCCGGGCCUGCAUCGGAAACUGCCCGGCUAGAGGUAGGUAGGGGAGAUCGGAAUUCCUGGUGUAGCGGUGAAAUGCGCAGAUAUCAGGAGGAACACCGGUGGCGAAGGCGGAUCUCUAGGCCUUACCUGACGCUCAGGCGCGAAAGCUAGGGGAGCGAACAGG